GUAGGUGAACCUGCGGAAGGAUCAUUAACACGUUUUCCGAACGUUUUCUAUGAACCAUCUCUAUUUUCCGUGAACAACAACAAUACCCGGCCUCCUAACCAGACCCGCUUGUUUACAGGUGUGUGACUGUGCUGGGCGUCUCUUUUUAGGGCAACAUGAGGUUUGAUUGGAAUCUGAACGAGAUUGCGGCUUAGCGGCUGCUUUUUCUAGUAUGAUUACGAUUGCCUUCCUUUAAAGAGGCGUUGCCAAACAACCCAAACCCCUUAAAUCUAAUUGCUCUGAACUCUUUAGUUGCUGGAGGCGUGUUCUUCGGAAUGUGUCCUCUUCAACGAAUUAAAAACAAACAACAACUCUUAACAACGGAUAUCUUGGUUCUC
This 377-nucleotide unclassified non-coding RNA is filed under the name rhizosphere metagenome. RNAcentral's name for it is "partial ribosomal RNA internal transcribed spacer region". The record is from RNAcentral.